AGCAGCCGCGGUAAUUCCAGCUCCAAUAGCGUAUAUUAAAGUUGUUGCAGUUAAAAAGCUCGUAGUUGAAUUUCGGGGUUAGUAGGUUGGUCGUGCCACUGGUAUGCACUGGUCUUACUGACUCCUCCUUCCUGAUGAACCGUAAUGCCAUUAAUUUGGUGUUGCGGGGAAACUGGACUGUUACUUUGAAAAAUUAGAGUGUUUAAAGCAAGCUAACGCUUGAAUACAUUAGCAUGGAAUAAUGAAAUAGGACGAUCGAUCCUAUUUUGUUGGUUUCUAGGAUUGACGUAAUGAUUAAUAGGGAUAGUUGGGGGCAUUAGUAUUCAAUUGUCAGAGGUGAAAUUCUUGGAUUUAUUGAAGACUAACUACUGCGAAAGCAUUUGCCAAGGAUGUUUUCAUUAAUCAAGAACGAAAGUUAGGGGAUCGAAGACGAUCAGAUACCGUCGUAGUCUUAACCAUAAACUAUGCCGACUAGGGAUCGGAUGAUGUUAAUUUUUUAAUGACUCAUUCGGCGCCUUAC
This 520-nucleotide ribosomal RNA is filed under the name uncultured Glomus. RNAcentral's name for it is "SSU rRNA". It matches the Rfam family "Eukaryotic small subunit ribosomal RNA", at positions 569 to 1091 of the family's 1831-position model. Lineage: Eukaryota; Fungi; Glomeromycota; Glomeromycetes; Glomerales; Glomeraceae. The record is from RNAcentral.